CUCAGGACAAGUAGGAAGAAGUCUCUCUGCUGAGGUAAGAGGAAAGAACAGGAUGCUUUUGAUGAAAAUGUUAAACCUGAGAAGAGGCUAUUAACCCAUCCCUGGCCACAAGCUUUUGGGGUAGAAUCUGGACUACAUGCUGCCAAUUCAGAGUUCUCCUUGCCUCCCAAGCAGUGGUUCUCACAUUAGAGGACAGACUCCAAGGAACCAGAAUCUUCUCUAAGCUUCCGAUUUCCUUUUGGGAAGAAAAAUACAUAGCAAUCUCAGAGGCUGCUGGUUGCCAUAGGCCUGUCUUUUCUUUCAUACUUCCCUAUCAGCGGGCACUUCCCUAGAUUAUUGUGGCUUUAGAUGUAUUUCAUGUUGUCUAGUCAGAGUUGGGCCUAAGGUAUCUGUGGCCAUGAUCUUUGCUAGACAUUAAACUUUUCUUGAUGUUCUACUCUAAUGCCCCCAAAUUUGCCACUGAAUCUCUCUUGGGUUCUUCUGUGUUAAAUUAUGAUUAAAUUAUGAUUAUCUUAUAUUUCGGCUCCAGGAUUAUAGGCAACAAUAAAACUCCAAGCUUAGAGUUGCUUAGGUAGUUGGCAGAUGGGUCUCUAGAGAACAGAUCUCAGCAAAAGACUGAAAUCAUCAUUGAAAUAUAGCAUGUGCCAGGGAGAGUGCAAGGGAGCUAAGGAUAUAGACUCAGAAGACAUUUCUCUACCCACAAGGGGCUAUGUGUAGUCUACUAGAGAGGUCUAUGUUUUUCAGGUAGGAAUUCCAAACCAGAAUACAUCCAACCAUGAGGUUACCUAUUUGGGGGAUUGAAUUGCUGCUGUGGGGUUUGGAUGCACACACUUUAUUAAGACAGGUUAACCUAAAAUUUUUAGGAAAAUCAUAAGGCAAUUAUUAUUAUUGGCUCAUAAGGCAAUUAUUGAGAUGUAGAAUAAAUACACCAGGUAAGCCCGUCUACUUACUAGAAAGUUUUCUCCUUAGCAGUAGAGUUGGUGGCCUGGAAUCUAUGGAUACACCUAAUGUAGAGUAACACCCUAAAAAUCUAUGAUAGUGGCAAUUUCACAUGAUUGGAUAUGAAUCUGGAGACCCAGUUUUCAACUACUACCAAAAAAUAAUCUUGCGGAAUUUUGGUGACCUGUUUACAUUUUUAAUAUUUUUUGUUUUGAAAUGGGGUUAUAUCUAAUUUAGCUGUCUCACUUGGUGGUAUAAAUGUUCAAAUGAGAUAAUGAGAACUGAAAAUGUAGACACUGUCUCUUUCUCGUAUUCAACGCACAGAGCACCUGGGCUGGGAGAGGGAAGUGAUGAGAAGGAGAUGCUUUGCUCUGCUGAACUGCUGUAAAGAAAAGGAAGAAGAGAUUACUCAGGGGUUUUUUACUCACAAUCCCCCUACGUCUGACUCUCAGUAGACCACUAGUCUUGGUUACAAUAGGAGCAGGCUUUUGUUUUAUUUUUUCCCUUCCAGAAUCCCAUAGCAUGUUUCCCUGCUUCUGCCUGGAACAUCCAACCCUUAUUAAGUAUCUACCUCAAGAAAGACAUUGGGCUUCAAAGAUGAAAAAGGCAUAUCUCAAAGGAGAUUGCAGAAAGCAGACCACCAACCCCUUAGAAGAUGUUUCAGGAAGAAAAAGUUCACACCAAAGACCAAGGAGGCAAGGAGAUCUUUAUUAGUUAACUAUAUCAGGAUCGACAUUAAUUCAGAAACAGGAGAAGGCAAGUUUGAACAAAGGCUGAAUAAUUAGUCUAAUCACCUGACAAGAUGCUUCAGGCCCCGUUCCUCAGAGUCAAACAACAGACCACCCACAAGAAUGGAGAUCCUUGCCUGCUCUGGAUAUGCUCUCACUGAUGUGAGGUUUUACAUGUUCUGAUUUUCAAGGGAUUUUAGGGAGAUAAUCAUCAAGAUUGUGAUAAAAUAUAUAGGAAAAUGAAAUUACAGAGAGAACUCUGGAAAAUAACAGAAACAAUGGGCAACAGAAGGGCAAUUUGUAAUGCAAGAAGGAUGGCAGAUCAUGGCACAGACUCAAGAAAUAAGGUGUGUAUUCACUUUGCAGCAAUUAUGUUACUAAAUACUAUGGUGUCAAAGUAACCUAAAGAAAAGAUUAUACAAGUCUAACGCUUAGGUGCAUCUGAGAUUUUAGUGGACAGAUGAUGAAAUUCAAAUCUUUAUAACAUUUCAUUGUAAUUUGACCCAAGAGUAAGUCUGAUAAUAUUGGCUAUUGAAUGGGGGAAGACUUAUCCUUGUCCUUCUUCUGCAACCUCUUUUAGCCCUUGACUCCAUGGCAUCCUCGAGCACCAAGCAGAAGCUGGCUUCUUUGGUGAGAACUGUGGCCCAGACCUAACCCUGCCCAAUAUACACCAUCCACACUUGGGUUCUGGAUUCCAUUGCUUCAUGCCCCUGCUUUCCACUGAGGAAGAAAAUUGAGUCAACUGCACUAAAGCCUCCCAUGGAAGAAGAAAAAGAGCUAGUCACCAGGCAAGGAGAGCUGGGAAAAGACCCAGGAAAGCCAAAGGAAGAGGGAGAUUCAAAACGGAGAUGGUGAACUACUAAGCCAGAUGCUGAAGGCAGGCCUCGGAGAACUAAGAAGGAUGAGGUUUACUGUUAGAAUUGGUGAGUUGCACAGUGAGAUGAGAAGAGACAGAGCCCAGUAUAUGGAGGAAAAAGAUAGACAAGAAGUGGAGAGGGUGGUAAUAAGGUCAGCUGGGUAUCUGAAGUUCUGCUAAACACAGGCACAUAUAAUCUCCUCACAAGGGUCAUUUUAAGUAGGAGUGUUAUUUUCCCAUUUUACAGAGGAGCAAGUUACAGCACAAACUGGACAAUAAAUUACUUCACAACAUUGUAUCACUGGAACUGAUAAAGCUCUAUCAGCUCUGUUCUUGACGGCUAUUAUUGAGCCUCUCUUUCUUUUCAGAGGUUCAUUUCAGAGGAUGGAUAUAGUUUAUCUUAGUUUCAUGAGGAGAAUGAGGUGUGAGGGAGCUUUCCGCCCACUCUUUUUCCUAUUAUACAAGGAAGAAAAAGGGAUAUUGUGUGAGCAGAUGGAAGACAGCUGAGGAGAUGGAGGGUGAAGAUACAAAAGAUGAGUUCUAAUUGAUGGGAUAAAAUCUCCCAAGGAACAGAAAGGGCUCUCAUUACAAACAAGGCAGGGGAAAUUAACUUGCAACCCAAGAAAAGGAAGAAAAUGGUCACUGGGUUUGAUGACUAGGAAAUAAUUAUGUCCAUAAUAACUUUAAAACUUAGAUUUCACAAGGGAAGUCAGUUGCUAACAAAGAGUCAGUUAUUCCUUUCAUGAGCUUAUGCAGCCUGUCAAGUUGAGUCAACAACUGCAUUGCUGUCAUUUCUAAUUUUCUAGAAGCUGAUUAAAUAAAUAAAACAAUUUAUCCAACUCUAUUAUAUAAAAUAUCCAUGGUGCGCCAUUCACAAGAGGGAUUAGUCGUCUGUUAUAAACCAGGGUUCUUUAAUUUCAAGGGUCAGAAUCUUAACUUGAACUAGUUUAGGUAAAAACUAAAAACACAGACACACCCCAGGAAGCAUGCGGGGUCACCAGUCCUGGAAGAACUGGUGAUGGACAGAAACAAAUAAUAAAAGCCUACUUCAUAAGCAUUGCCACUCUUUUGCAUAUGGGGAAGUGAAGUACACAGGUAUUAGAAAACUGACUCAUGUAUCUGGAAUCAGAGCUGAUAAUAGACAUAGACCCUUUCCCCAGUUUCAGUGCUAAAUUGUUAUGGCUUCUGUGUUAAAAAUUGGAUUUGACUUUAGGUGUGAUUAUUGCUGUUCUCCAGUUUCCUUAUUUGUAGACAGAAAGAACUAUGUCACAAGAAGCUCAUACUUCUGAGCACAUCCUCAAGAGAACCUGUGGGUAUAUCUUCAAGAUUCAGCUUCCCCCUUCUUCACAUACAGCAGUAGGAAGAUACUCAGGCCAGGAAGACUCUGCUCGCCGCGGGUGUAUCUUCAUCCGGGUGAUUCAUGGUGACCUCAGUGAGAACCCCACCUGCAGAGUCAUAGUGAGUGGGCUGAGCAGGAGGAAACGUCAGCUCCACCUGGGCCCUAACCUGCCUCUGCACUUUCAGCUCAUCUUUCAUGGUUAACAUGAAGUGAGUGCUUGCUUCCUCUAAUGCCCCAAGGAGAAUUUAGACACUUAGACAUUCUAAAACAUAAGCAUCAUAGGUUCAAUUGUUCUCUCUCUUCUUGAAGUAUUUUAAAGGUAUGGCCCUAGUUCAUACAACUGAAGCACAUUUCUCUCCUCAUUAAUGAAAUCUGAAAAAGUAAUUACUGAAUGCUUAGGAGUAAAUCAGAAGGUAUAUUAUAGGAAGAGGUCUUGGAAAUGUGUACAUGAAAGGAAGGAAAUGUGGACUUAAACAAUAAUAGUCAUAUCUAAUGUUGUGUGCAGAUUUCAGUCAGGAAAUGUUCAUUGUUGAGAAAAACGUACAAGGGAACUUACUAUCAACCUUCAGAAUAACAGGUACAACACCAAACAUGUUCUUCAAUGAGCAGAACUGCUUUAAGGACUAACAAUAGUCCUCGUGGAUAUUUUUCAAGUGUUCCCUUGCUCUCUUCUUGCCCACUGGUUUAACUCCGGCUCACUAGAAGCCUAUUUUGUGUCCAGGCCUCUGCUAGAUGCUGCUUUUACCUCAUUUGGGCCUCACUUCAUCUCCAGAGAACUGUCACCAUUCUCAUUUUGCAGACUUGAGGGAUUAAGAGCCUUACUAAGAUCACAUCAGAGGAGACUGGAGCUGGCUUCUGGUAUUCUAGCCCAGCUCUUUCCUGACACCAUGGGCUGUGUUCCUUCCACUGCAUCCAUCAAUGAGCAGCAUCGACAUUUAGAGAUGGGGUUGAGUCUGGGAAGAAAAAUAUUAUUUCUUUGUUAAUUCUAAUUUCAUGAACAAAAAUUAAGUACUUUGCAUAGAAGGAAUAGAGAAUAAAGC
Molecule: long non-coding RNA, 4902 nt
Filed under: Marmota monax (woodchuck)
Lineage: Eukaryota; Metazoa; Chordata; Mammalia; Rodentia; Sciuridae
Source: RNAcentral